Molecule: ribosomal RNA, 835 nt
Filed under: Leucochloron foederale
Lineage: Eukaryota; Viridiplantae; Streptophyta; Magnoliopsida; Fabales; Fabaceae
Description: eukaryotic LSU rRNA
Rfam family: 5.8S ribosomal RNA (bases 363-516)
Source: RNAcentral
AUGGUCCGGUGAAGUGUUCGGAUCGCGGCGACGUGGGCGGUCCGCUGCCGGCGACGUCGCGAGAAGUCCACUGAACCUUAUCAUUUAGAGGAAGGAGAAGUCGUAACAAGGUUUCCGUAGGUGAACCUGCGGAAGGAUCAUUGUCGAUGCCGCACGAAAAGAGCGACCCGCGGACACGUUGGAACAGGACCGCCAGCGGGGGAGGGCGAGGGCGCGCCCGAGGCCUCUUCCCGACAACCGAACCCCGGCGCCCCAGGCGCCAAGGAACCGAAACAAAGAGCGGGGCACGCUCGCUGGCUGGCGGCCCGGGAACGGAGCCGACCGCCCAGCGCUGCGUCCCGUGCCGUCUGCGCAUCCGAAACGACUCUCGGCAACGGAUAUCUCGGCUCUCGCAUCGAUGAAGAACGUAGCGAAAUGCGAUACUUGGUGUGAAUUGCAGAAUCCCGUGAACCAUCGAGUCUUUGAACGCAAGUUGCGCCCGAGGCCUCGGCCGAGGGCACGUCUGCCUGGGUGUCACGCAACGUCGCCAGCGCCCAUCCUUCCGGGCGCGGCGGAUGAUGGCCUCCCGGGAGCCUCGCCUCCCGGCUGGCCGAAAAAGGGGCCCAGCGUGACGGCCGCGCCACGAUCCACGGUGGUUGAGCGAGCGGUCGCUCGAGGCCAAGACGUGCGCGCGCCGUCCCACGUCAGGGGACCGCCGGCUAGGGCGUGGGCAGCAGUGCCCGCCCUCUCGUACGCGACCCCAGGUCAGGCGGGGCUACCCGCUGAGUUUAAGCAUAUCAAUAAGCGGAGGAAAAGAAACUAACGGAGGAUUCCCCCUAGUAACGGGCGAGCGAAC